RNAcentral lists this ribosomal RNA (253 nucleotides) under uncultured bacterium. Its description in RNAcentral is "partial 16S ribosomal RNA". It matches the Rfam family "Bacterial small subunit ribosomal RNA", at positions 524 to 776 of the family's 1533-position model. The record is from RNAcentral.
GACGAGGGAUCCUAGCGUUGUUCGGAAUCAUUGGGCGUAAAGCGGGUGUAGGCGGCCUUAUAAGUCAGAUGUGAAAUCCCAGGGCUUAACUCUGGAAGUGCAUUUGAUACUGUAAGGCUUGAAUGUGGUAGAGGUUACUAGAAUUCUUGGUGUAGUGGUGAAAUACGUAGAUAUCAAGAGGAAUACCGGAGGCGAAGGCGGGUAACUGGGCCAACAUUGACGCUGAGACCCGAAAGCGUGGGGAUCAAACAGG